AUGCUCCCGCAGCCCCAUCGUCUAGGAGCUCCACGAGGAGAGGAGCAACAGCGCCCGCGCGCUCCUCCUCGCGACCCACCGCCCCGGCGAACCACCGCCGACGACCUCCUUCAGCAAGCCCCUCUGUCGCGCCCCUCCUCCUUCCUCCCUUUCUCUGGACCCUCAAGCUUCCUCUGUUCGUCUGGCAUAGGACCCCGCCAUGGAUGGCUGGCUCUGCCAAGCUCUGCCUUGCCGCUGUUCUGCACUCAUUCUAGCCGGGAAUUGAACGGAUCCGUCUUCCCUCGUCCGUCCCCGACCUAUUCUCCGGCAAGGUCCGCUCCACCGUCGUCGUCUAGGGCCACCUCCUGCCCGGAUACGUCCAGUCCGUCGCCUCCUACAAGCUGUAGCUGCUCGGCUUCCUCCAUGUUGCCUGCCUCUGCAACGGCGCAGAUGCAAGCGCCCUCAUCAGUUGACUACGUGGUCAACUCAUAUAAACGGGUCCCCCUUCUCUGCUUCGUCAUGUGGGUCGCGCCCACUGCGCAGCUCGACAGGCCACGGAAUCCAGGGACGCAAGGCCACCUUCGGAGAUCCCUUUUCGCCAAGUACCACGCCCGGUGA
This 597-nucleotide ribosomal RNA is filed under the name Triticum aestivum (bread wheat). RNAcentral's name for it is "partial small subunit ribosomal RNA". Lineage: Eukaryota; Viridiplantae; Streptophyta; Magnoliopsida; Poales; Poaceae. The record is from RNAcentral.